AUCCUGGCUCAGGAUGAACGCUAGCGGCAGGCUUAACACAUGCAAGUCGAGGGGCAUCGGGAGUAGCAAUACUGCCGGCGACCGGCGCAAGGGUGCGUAACGCGUGAGCAACAUGCCCGUAUCAGGGGGGAUAAUCCAUGGAAACGUGGUCUAAUACCCCAUAGUAAUUAUGUAAGGCAUCUUAUAUAAUUUAAAGCUUUGGUGGAUACGGAUUGGCUCGCGUGACAUUAGCUAGAUGGUAAGGUAACGGCUUACCAUGGCUACGAUGUCUAGGGGUUCUGAGAGGAAGGUCCCCCACACUGGAACUGAGACACGGUCCAGACUCCUACGGGAGGCAGCAGUGAGGAAUAUUGGACAAUGGAUGGAAAUCUGAUCCAGCCAUGCCGCGUGCAAGGAAGACGGCCCUAUGGGUUGUAAACUGCUUUUGUAUGGGAGCAAUAAGGGCUACGCGUAGUCCGAUGAGAGUACCAUACGAAUAAGCACCGGCUAACUCCGUGCCAGCCGCCGC
RNAcentral lists this ribosomal RNA (508 nucleotides) under uncultured bacterium. RNAcentral's name for it is "bacterial SSU rRNA". It matches the Rfam family "Bacterial small subunit ribosomal RNA", at positions 16 to 518 of the family's 1533-position model. The record is from RNAcentral.